GAUGAAGAACGCAGCGAAAUGCGAUAAGUAAUGUGAAUUGCAGAAUCCAGUGAAUCAUCGAGUCUUUGAACGCACAUUGCGCCCCCUGGUAUUCCGGGGGGCAUGCCUGUCCGAGCGUCAUUGCUGCCCUCAAGCACGGCUUGUGUGUUGGGCCUCGUCCUCCGAUUCCGGGGGACGGGCCCGAAAGGCAGCGGCGGCACCGCGUCCGGUCCUCGAGCGUAUGGGGCUUUGUCACCCGCUCUGUAGGCCCGGCCGGCGCUUGCCGAUCAACCCAAAUUUUUAUCCAGGUUGACCUCGGAUCAGGUAGGGAUACCCGCUGAACUUAAGCAUAUCAAUAAGCGGAGGA
RNAcentral lists this unclassified non-coding RNA (346 nucleotides) under soil metagenome. Its description in RNAcentral is "partial contains 5.8S ribosomal RNA, internal transcribed spacer 2, and large subunit ribosomal RNA". The stretch from base 1 to 120 matches the Rfam family "5.8S ribosomal RNA", at positions 35 to 154 of the family's 154-position model. The record is from RNAcentral.